CCUACGGGGGGCUGCAGUGGGGAAUAUUGCACAAUGGGCGCAAGCCUGAUGCAGCCAUGCCGCGUGUGUGAAGAAGGCCUUCGGGUUGUAAAGCACUUUCAGCGGGGAGGAAGGCGGUGAGGUUAAUAACCUCAUCGAUUGACGUUACCCGCAGAAGAAGCACCGGCUAACUCCGUGCCAGCAGCCGCGGUAAUACGGAGGGUGCAAGCGUUAAUCGGAAUUACUGGGCGUAAAGCGCACGCAGGCGGUCUGUCAAGUCGGAUGUGAAAUCCCCGGGCUCAACCUGGGAACUGCAUUCGAAACUGGCAGGCUGGAGUCUUGUAGAGGGGGGUAGAAUUCCAGGUGUAGCGGUGAAAUGCGUAGAGAUCUGGAGGAAUACCGGUGGCGAAGGCGGCCCCCUGGGCAAAGACUGACGCUCAGGUGCGAAAGCGUGGGGAGCAAACAGGAUUAGAUACCCGUGUAGUC
This 465-nucleotide ribosomal RNA is filed under the name uncultured Klebsiella sp. RNAcentral's name for it is "bacterial SSU rRNA". It matches the Rfam family "Bacterial small subunit ribosomal RNA", at positions 338 to 795 of the family's 1533-position model. Lineage: Bacteria; Pseudomonadati; Pseudomonadota; Gammaproteobacteria; Enterobacterales; Enterobacteriaceae. The record is from RNAcentral.